Suricata suricatta (meerkat) is the source of this 396-nucleotide long non-coding RNA. RefSeq lists it as uncharacterized. The transcript is spliced from 3 exons. NCBI's taxonomy places the organism in Eukaryota, Metazoa, Chordata, Mammalia, Carnivora, Herpestidae. The record is from RefSeq and is a predicted model, not a curated record.
AGCCAGACUAGAUCUCUAAAGGCUUCUAGGGCUAACAUUACAGACCCAUUACGUAACCUAAUUUUAAAACAUUCUCCUACAUUACACUAAGAUUAUUAGGCACAAUGUUCUCAUAAGGAAAUUCGAGAGCACUACUGUGUAACAGUAAUUCUGCUGCCGAAGCACUGCACCCUUGCCUCACAAGAGAAGCACACCACCAUACCCACCCUACCAUCUCCUCCCAGGAGCAGGUAUUGGGAAGUUAGCAGUGACCAAAAAUGAGCAAGUCUAUGGAGCUUAUAUUCCAGAGGAGAAGACAGACACCAAAUAAACAAACAUACAUCAGAUGCUAAUAAGUGCUGUGGAAACAAAUAAGGCAAAUGCCCAGUGGAGAAUGGGACCUUAUUUUAUAGAAUA